This 393-nucleotide ribosomal RNA is filed under the name uncultured bacterium. RNAcentral describes it as "partial 16S ribosomal RNA". It matches the Rfam family "Bacterial small subunit ribosomal RNA", at positions 523 to 918 of the family's 1533-position model. The record is from RNAcentral.
AUACGGAGGAUCCGAGCGUUAUCCGGAUUUAUUGGGUUUAAAGGGUGCGCAGGCGGGAGAUUAAGUCGGCGGUGAAAUUUUGCAGCCCAACUGUAAAAGUGCCUUCGAAACUGGUUUCCUUGAGUGUAGAUGAAGUAGGCGGAAUUUGGGGUGUAGCGGUGAAAUGCAUAGAUAUCACGAGGAAAUCCGAUUGCGCAGGCAGCUUACUAAACUACUACUGACGCUCAGGCACGAAGGCGUGGGGAUCAAACAGGAUUAGAUACCCUGGUAGUCCACGCUGUAAACUAUGAUAACUAUCUUUUAGCGAUACACAGUUAGAGGGUACGAGAAAUCAUUAAGUUAUCCACCUGGGGAUUACGUUCGCAAGAAUGAAACUCAAAGGAAUUGCCGGGG